ACUCCUACGGGAGGCAGCAGUGGGGAAUCUUGCGCAAUGGGCGGAAGCCUGACGCAGCAACGCCACGUGGGGGAUGACGGCCUUCGGGUUGUAAACCUCUUUCGGCCUUGACGAAGGCAUCUCUGUUGGGGGUGUUGACGGUAGGGGCAGAAGAAGCACCGGCUAACUACGUGCCAGCAGCCGCGGUAAU
This 190-nucleotide ribosomal RNA is filed under the name uncultured bacterium. RNAcentral describes it as "partial 16S ribosomal RNA". It matches the Rfam family "Bacterial small subunit ribosomal RNA", at positions 335 to 524 of the family's 1533-position model. The record is from RNAcentral.